UACGUCUCCAACGUAUCUAUAAUUUCCGAUGUUCCAUGCUUGUUUUAUGACAAUACCAACAUGUUUUGUUCACACUUUAUAUCAUUUUCAUGCAUUUUCCGGAACUAACCUAUUAACAAGAUGCCACAGUGCCAGUUCCUGUUUUCUGCUGUUUUUGGUUCCAGAAAGGCUGUUCGGGCAAUAUUCUCGGAAUUGGACGAAAUCAACGCCAAACCUCCUAUUUUUCCCGGAAGCGUCCAGAACACCGAAGAAGAGUCGGAGAGGGGCCAGGGGGCCACCACACCACAUGGCGGCGCGGGCCAGGCCUAGGCCGCGCCGGCCUAGGGUGUGGCGCCUCCAGGUGCCCCCCUGCGCCGCCUCUUCGCCUAUAAAAGCCCUUUCGACCUAAAAACGCAGUACCAAUUGACGAAACUCCAGAAAGACUCCAGGGGCGCCGCCGCCAUCGCGAAACUCCAAUUCGGGGGACAGAACUCUGUUUCGGCACCCUGCCGGGACGGGGAAUUGCCCCCGGAGCCAUCUCCACCGCCGUCUUCACCGCCAUCUUCACCGCCAUCGCUGCCUCCAUGAUGAGGAGGGAGUAAUCCACCCCCGAGGCUGAGGGCUUCGCUGUAGCUAUGUGGUUCAUCUCUCUCCCAUGUACCUCAAUACAAUAAUCUCAUGAGCUGCUUUACAUGAUUGAGAUUCAUAUGAGUUUUGUAUCACAAUUCAUCUAUGUGCUACUCUAGUGAUGUUAUUAAAGUAGUUCUAUUCCUCCUGCACGUGUGUAAAGACGACAGUGUGUGCACCGUGUUAGUACUUGGUUUAUGCUAUGAUCAUGAUCUCUUGUAGAUUGCGAAGUUAACUAUUGCUAUGAUAAUAUUGAUGUGAUCUAUUCCUCCUA
Lolium perenne is the source of this 880-nucleotide non-coding RNA. Lineage: Eukaryota; Viridiplantae; Streptophyta; Magnoliopsida; Poales; Poaceae. The record is from RefSeq and is a predicted model, not a curated record.